AAGCUGUGUAGACCCUUAGGAGCUUGUCAUGCGGUUAAAAUCAAGAUUCACUUGCACGUUCACUCAUACAUGCUGCUUCUACUCCAGAAGUACGCAUCUACAUACAUCCAUUCAUUUCCAUCUCCAGAUUCACCAAAAAUUAUUCUACUCCUAUCCAGGAGAGAAUAACCAAAACAUUAUCCUAUCCCUGUUAUUCCCCGUGAAAUACAUGCUCGAGAUAUUUUGGUUACUACCACUUGCUACAUUAUUCCAGGAGGGUGAGUGCUUUGAAAAAAAAGUGAAUACGAGGAAAUAAAAAGGGGCAAGUGCUCGGAACCUCGAAGAAAAGAAAAAGUGAGACGAGAGAUAAAAAUGGACAAGUGUCCAACAGUAGAAUUAGGGGUACAAGAUACCCACCUAAGAGAAAAGAAAAAGAAAAUAUAGAGCAUCUCAUUCCCCUCAAAAAGUUUCAAAGAGCAAGAAAGGUAUGUAUCCCCUCAAAAGAGCAAAAGUAGAAUUAGACUUUCACCAUUGUUUUCACCAUUAUCAAAAUCACCACCAUACACCAUUCAUUCACCACACAUGCACAUCUUGAUUUGACUUAUUGACUUGUUUCUCUGGAUCCAUAGUUUGACUAUGAAAUAAAUGUCUUGUAAGUAUGUAUUAGCUGUCUCCCACCUAUGAGCUCC
Molecule: long non-coding RNA, 668 nt
Filed under: Sorghum bicolor (sorghum)
Lineage: Eukaryota; Viridiplantae; Streptophyta; Magnoliopsida; Poales; Poaceae
Description: long non-coding RNA (SBIC_LNC000900)
Source: RNAcentral